UUAGAACUCUCUCUAGUGUUGCUGUGAGCAUGCAGUGAGGUUUGUGUGCAGCAAAAGCCUGCAAGCGGAGGAAGACCCUACCAAUUGCUGUGGCUCUAAGGCCGUUACCCUCUCCAGGGCAAGCUUGACCUCUACCCAUUUGCCAACAUCCUAGCAGAACUGUUUUUACCAGUCAAUGUCUGGUUGUUUCCAUUCCGGCCUCAGAGAUCCUUGAGGAUUUGACCCUUGGUCAACAUUGCUUCAGGGAAUAGCAAAGCAUUUGGAGAAUGCCUGUACUGGUUCCAGAAUGAAUGAAAAUCCAGCUGAGCACUGUGUGCCCUUCCAAGGACCUGAACCUCAUUAUUGAGACUUAUUGAGAACUGAGGAGCCAGUAUGGAUGAGCAACAGCUGCAGCAGAAAACCCUCCCCACCAUCUCUGCCAUGCAAGUCAGACCCCUGGUAGUCCCUGAGGGGGUCCAGGGAAGCUGCCUCUGAGAGGGAGAUUUGCAUGCAGGAAGUUUCUGGAAGAGGGCUCCCAGGAUCCACAAUCCUGAAGGAGCAAAGGGCCAUACAUCUGCACACUGUCUCCAUCUGCCAUCCAAUCUGGCCACCCAAAUUGUUCCACUUAGCAUGGAGAGUCCCUGGGGAGAGUCCCAGGACACAGUCCGAGGCAACACCUGGGUCCCCUCAGCCACUGAUAAGUCCUUUGUAUCUCUGGAUGUUUCCUGAAAAGGCUGGAUGCUUCCAGUUCAGAAUCCCCGCCCCCACUCCCAUCUAAGGAGAUGUCAUAUAAUUCCAGAAGCCAGCCUCACCUUUAAAGCGUCAAGCCCCUUCCCAAACACCUCUCAAAUCGCAAGUCACCUGGAUCCUCAGAGGGCUACACGUCUCAGCCUGCCUGCACCACCCCAGAGGUCCCCAGUGGAUGGAGAAUGCCUAACUGCUUGCGGUACCCAGAUCUCGGCUGAGAUUUCUCCCCUCUGUCCUGCAACCUGAGCUGUGUGUGGUUUAGUCUAAUUCCUUCCGAGUCUGUGCAGCCCUCGCUGGAACCGAUUCUAAGCUAUCUGGUGCCCUCUGCUGGACAACUGCAAUCAUGGCCAAAGUCCAGUUUCCCAGAGUCCCAGGGAAGCAGAGGAAACACCUCCCCAGAUUAUUUUAAUUCUCUCCAAUUCCAACCUGCCCCUAUUUGCACUAAAAGGAUUCCAGGUGUGUUAUGAGGUUUGCAUCAUGUGGUGAGAAGAAUUCAGGACUAUGAACUAGCUCUAAUUCAAUUAAGCCCCGAGCUUUGUGUCCUAGGCAAAUUACUCAUGCUGUUUCCUCAGUUGUAAAAGAGCAAUGACCAACUGCCUUGGAGGUUGGUUACCUGGAUUAAAUAUGUUAAUGGAUGUAGAGCUCCUAAAUGUAGCCAACCCCAAAGAUGGGACACAAUUUUAUCUCUAUGACUCUGUCAUUCAUGAUGUUAUUAAAUUCAAUCUAAAAUUAAAUCUGUCUAUCAUGAUGACUGCACCACCUCAAAAAAUACUGCUGUCACAUGUGGGUCCAUUUCUUCUUUCUGCCCUAGAAUUGUGUCUGUGCGAUAAAAAGGACUUUGUUCCACCCAUAUUCCAACCCCAAUCUGCCUGUAGUAAAGACAGAUGGCAGCUCAAUGGUCUCUAGAAUGAUCAUUCCUAUGUUGCAUUUGCCCAGAGGAUGGGUGGUAAGAAGCACCCUGGACAUUUUCCAUCCUAGCCUGCCCCUCUAGGGGUGUGAAUGUCCACCAGCCACUUAGAGGUCAUAUGGUUCUAGAAAGAACCUUUAGUGGUCCACAGCCAUCCAGCCAGAUGUUCAAUGAGCUGUCAAAUUAUUGGAGCUUGAGCUCUCAGAUGAAGUGUAAGAGUAGAAAGGUCAUGAGGGUCCCAAAGAUGCUGUGUCUAUCUUAUGCUACUAUCCGCCUAUAUGAAUUGACCUCUGAGCCUCCCAAGUGUUCCUCAAUCUACACCUUGUAGGCGGUCUGCCUAUGCCUGCUGCAGCCCUCCCCACCUCCAAGAGUUACCAGAGAGACUCUAUAAGCUGGAAACAGUAAACUAAAGCUCAGAGAUGUAUGGCAGACUCACGUCCCUUUAGACACAACAGUAAACACCCCCCCGCCAAAAAAAAACAUAACUCAUUUUCUCAGCCACCUUUGCAGCUAGGGGUGAAUAUGUGAUACGAAU
RNAcentral lists this long non-coding RNA (2168 nucleotides) under Homo sapiens (human). Its description in RNAcentral is "HSALNT0040120". Lineage: Eukaryota; Metazoa; Chordata; Mammalia; Primates; Hominidae. The record is from RNAcentral.